GACGAACGCUGGCGGCGUGCCUAAUACAUGCAAGUCGAGCGAAGUUUUUCUGGUGCUUGCACUAGAAAAACUUAGCGGCGAACGGGUGAGUAACACGUAAAGAACCUGCCUCAUAGACUGGGACAACUAUUGGAAACGAUAGCUAAUACCGGAUAACAGUAUUUCUCGCAUGAGAGAUAUUUAAAAGUUGGUUAUGCUAACACUAUGAGAUGGCUUUGCGGUGCAUUAGCUAGUUGGUGGGGUAAAGGCCCACCAAGGCGACGAUGCAUAGCCGACCUGAGAGGGUGAUCGGCCACACUGGGACUGAGACACGGCCCAGACUCCUACGGGAGGCAGCAGUAGGGAAUCUUCCGCAAUGGGCGAAAGCCUGACGGAGCAACGCCGCGUGAGUGAAGAAGGAUUUCGGUUCGUAAAGCUCUGUUGUUAGGGAAGAAUGGAUAUGUAGUAACUAUACAUGUAAGAGACGGUACCUAACCAGAAAGCCACGGCAAACUACGUG
RNAcentral lists this ribosomal RNA (499 nucleotides) under uncultured bacterium. Its description in RNAcentral is "partial 16S ribosomal RNA". It matches the Rfam family "Bacterial small subunit ribosomal RNA", at positions 28 to 507 of the family's 1533-position model. The record is from RNAcentral.